RNAcentral lists this ribosomal RNA (253 nucleotides) under uncultured bacterium. RNAcentral's name for it is "partial 16S ribosomal RNA". It matches the Rfam family "Bacterial small subunit ribosomal RNA", at positions 524 to 776 of the family's 1533-position model. The record is from RNAcentral.
UACGGGGGGGGCAAGCGUUGUUCGGAAUUACUGGGCGUAAAGGGCGCGUAGGCGGCCUGCUAAGUCAGACGUGAAAUCCCCCGGCUUAACCUGGGAACUGCGUCUGAUACUGGAAGGCUUGAGGAUGGGAGAGGGAUGUAGAAUUCCAGGUGUAGCGGUGAAAUGCGUAGAUAUCUGGAGGAAUACCGGUGGCGAAGGCGGCAUCCUGGACCAUUACUGACGCUGAGGCGCGAAAGCUAGGGGAGCAAACGGG